RNAcentral lists this long non-coding RNA (421 nucleotides) under Selaginella moellendorffii. RNAcentral's name for it is "long non-coding RNA (SMOE_LNC000568)". Lineage: Eukaryota; Viridiplantae; Streptophyta; Lycopodiopsida; Selaginellales; Selaginellaceae. The record is from RNAcentral.
CCUCAGAGCGAAGUAAGCGUUUCUUGUUUUGGUUUUCUUUUCCUUCCUUCCUCACAUAGUUCUAUUAUUUGACUCCGUCGAUGCAGUACAGGGUAAAGAUGCUUCUGCUCCUGCUGCUGCUGCUGCCCCUGCUCGUGCUCCCGUUUGUGCCGCUGCCGCAUUCCGUUUUCCUGGAUUUGGUUCGUUUCUCAAGGAUCCACAACAAACCAGAGAAGGUGGUGCGUCACUUAAUCUCGAUUUCCGUGGCGCUCUUAGCAACUUCUAACACAUUUUUGCAGCUCAUGCGCUUGGCGUUCACACCACACAAAGCGUGCGGCUCACCUUUUCCUCUUUGUACAACGAGGCGACAUAAAAAGAAACCGACUCAACAGCGUUUAAUCGAGAUUGACAACCAUGCCAAGGCUGUUUGCGGCACAAAGAU